AUGACAAUCGUCUGAGACGAACAGCGAUUCCAAUACGUACUCACAUAUUUCGUUCCAUUCUGGUUAUUAAGCUAGGUGCCUAUUUUUAUAAAUGUCAUUAAUCUCAAUACUUCCAGACUGAACUUUUGGAUCGGAGAUAUGAAGACGCGCGCUGCAUUUUCCUUGGCGGAGAUGCACAGCUCUGACACUAGACAAUAUUAUAUACACUCGAAGGGAACGCGUUUCGCCGGAAGAAUAAAUAAUUACAAAUGGUAUUCGUCAGUGAACAUUUUCAAACUGGGAAUAAUAUAUCAUAAGCAGAUUGAAAUGUGUGAACGUUUCAGUGUUUUGAAGACUAAGUUUCGUAGCAGAUUUCGAUUCCGUCACGGGUUAUAACAGUGCCGCAACAACCGCAGGGGCAGCCGGGUCAAUGCCCCUGUAGAGGGCUGCUAAUCGUUGGCUCAAGGGGUCCCGACGGCGCACAGCAUCUACUUUAAAUUUUUAAAUAAUUGCAUUGUAAUCUAAUGUUUAAAUCAAAUAAAAUAUAUUAAAUAAAAAUAUCUAUUUUUAUAAUUUAUCAUGUUAUCUAAUUUGUUGUCGAAGAACAAGGGGCCCCUAUUUAUCCAUAAUAAUACCUAUAUUUAUCUUUAAAAUUAUAUUUUUAUAGUGUUUUAUUGUUUUAUUGUUAUUGAG
Long non-coding RNA from Metopolophium dirhodum (rose-grain aphid), 672 nucleotides. RefSeq lists it as uncharacterized. The transcript is spliced from 3 exons. Lineage: Eukaryota; Metazoa; Arthropoda; Insecta; Hemiptera; Aphididae. The record is from RefSeq and is a predicted model, not a curated record.